GUUAUUAGUGGCAAAAGAGGUGUUACUCUUAUGGACAACUUGGAAUCAUACAUUCACUAGUUAGGAAACUAAACGAUGCAGUACCAGAACUCAGUGGCCACAUGGGGAUAUUAAAAUUCGCAAGAUGUCAGCCGUGACGGCCCGUGUGAUCAGGUUAACUGUGAUAAGGACUGGUUCUGCUGCACGUAGUGGAGACAAGCGGGGAUGUGCACGUUGUUUCGCCGUUGUGACAUCUCCCAUAACAUCUGGGCCUGAGCCAUUAAGGCGUACAAUCCUGAGGAAUGACUCCCACGCAGCCCGCAUCAGCACCGCAGUGAGUGACGCUGGGGGCUGCUGAUGUGCUGUGGCGCACACUAAAUUUGGGUGGCGCACAAUGCACCAAAACCCCCCGAAACGGAAUCCCAGGAUAUCCCACCCCCACCCACCACUCGAAACGGAAUAGCCCUCCUCCCUCAGUCCUCAUCCCCUCCUCUUUUACCUCCGCCUUCUCUCGCUAUCACCCCCCUUCCCUCCUCCUCCUCCUCCUUCUCCUUCUCGCCCUCACGUCCCAACUCGGGAGCGCCGCCGAUCGGUCGCCUGGAUUUUCCCUUCUCGGCCAAAAUGGAGGAGGAGGUCUCUCGCUUAAUGAAGGGAGCACAGAUUGUAUGACCGGAUCUGCUUCAAUGAAAGGCGCUGGGAUCCGCUUUUGCCGAUAAAAAUCUGUUGCCAGAAUAAAAACCCUUUGAGGAUAUCUAUCGCUAUUUCUGCACAAGCGACCGCAGCCAUGAGCGCUGGAGAGGGACUAGAUGAGGCUGCGAAGGACGCGGCAGACAUAGCGGCGUUUUUCAAAUCCGAUUGCUCUCUUCCAAAAUGUGAAUCUAAACUGGACGGCCCAGGUCAAACCUCAGGUAGGUCUGAUUGUCACACAAUCUUAAACAGGAAUUUCUUUGCAGACACACACACGGUCUGUUUAUUGUCCAUGCUUAAGAUCUCUAUCUCUACGUGUUUUGCCAGUCAUGUCAUUGAUAUGAUAAGGAUUCCACCUAUUUAUAUUUGUCCAACAUUAAAUGGGAACCAAUGACUUUCGUGUUUAGGGAAUCUUCA
Molecule: long non-coding RNA, 1083 nt
Filed under: Sparus aurata (gilthead seabream)
Lineage: Eukaryota; Metazoa; Chordata; Actinopteri; Spariformes; Sparidae
Description: lncRNA (ENSSAUG00010021533.1)
Source: RNAcentral